GUACUGAACUUGGAAAGGGAGAUUCCAGGAUCAUGAAGAUGGUCUCCCCAGCAUGAGAUUCCUUUAUUAUACUUUGGAUGUAUUGGCCCCUAGGGUUUCCCCAAAUUCUAGGAACUUGACUAUAUAAUUUGUGGUAGUGGGGGACUGUAUUCAUGCUACCCCUUC
Small nuclear RNA from Peromyscus maniculatus bairdii (prairie deer mouse), 165 nucleotides. Its record names the gene U1. It matches the Rfam family "U1 spliceosomal RNA". Rfam says of the family: U1 is a small nuclear RNA (snRNA) component of the spliceosome (involved in pre-mRNA splicing). Its 5' end forms complementary base pairs with the 5' splice junction, thus defining the 5' donor site of an intron. The record is from Ensembl. Lineage: Eukaryota; Metazoa; Chordata; Mammalia; Rodentia; Cricetidae.